RNAcentral lists this ribosomal RNA (642 nucleotides) under uncultured Sedimentibacter sp. RNAcentral describes it as "bacterial SSU rRNA". It matches the Rfam family "Bacterial small subunit ribosomal RNA", at positions 897 to 1533 of the family's 1533-position model. The record is from RNAcentral. Lineage: Bacteria; Bacillati; Bacillota; Tissierellia.
AAACUUAAAUGAAUUGACGGGGACCCGCACAAGCAGCGGAGCAUGUGGUUUAAUUCGAAGCAACGCGAAGAACCUUACCAAGGUUUGACAUCCCCUUGACAGAAGCAGAGAUGUUUCCUCCCCUUCGGGGGCAAGGGAGACAGGUGGUGCAUGGUUGUCGUCAGCUCGUGUCGUGAGAUGUUGGGUUAAGUCCCGCAACGAGCGCAACCCUUAUCCUUAGUUGCCAGCAGGUUAAGCUGGGCACUCUAAGGAGACUGCCGGUGAUAAACCGGAGGAAGGUGGGGAUGACGUCAAAUCAUCAUGCCCCUUAUAUCUUGGGCUACACACGUGCUACAAUGGUCGGUACAAAGGGAAGCGAAAGAGUGAUCUGGAGCAAAUCUUCAUAAACCGAUCCCAGUUCGGAUUGUAGGCUGCAACUCGCCUACAUGAAGUUGGAGUUGCUAGUAAUCGCGAAUCAGAACGUCGCGGUGAAUGCGUUCCCGGGUCUUGUACACACCGCCCGUCACACCAUGGAAGUUGGUAAUACCCAAAGUCGCUGAGCUAACCGCAAGGGGGCAGGCGCCUAAGGUAGGAUCAAUGACUGGGGUGAAGUCGUAACAAGGUAGCCGUAUCGGAAGGUGCGGCUGGAUCACCUCCUUUAUG